AUGAACGCUAGCGGCGUGCCUAAUCCAUGCAAGUCGCGCGAACAGACGAGGAGCUUGCUCCUCUGACGUUAGCGGCGGACGGGUGAGUAACACGUGGAUAACCUACCUAUAAGACUGGGAUAACUUCGGGAAACCGGAGCUAAUACCGGAUAAUAUAUUGAACCGCAUGGUUCAAUAGUGAAAGACGGUUUUGCUGUCACUUAUAGAUGGAUCCGCGCCGCAUUAGCUAGUUGGUAAGGUAACGGCUUACCAAGGCGACGAUGCGUAGCCGACCUGAGAGGGUGAUCGGCCACACUGGAACUGAGACACGGUCCAGACUCCUACGGGAGGCAGCAGUAGGGAAUCUUCCGCAAUGGGCGAAAGCCUGACGGAGCAACGCCGCGUGAGUGAUGAAGGUCUUCGGAUCGUAAAACUCUGUUAUUAGGGAAGAACAAAUGUGUAAGUAACUAUGCACGUCUUGACGGUACCUAAUCAGAAAGCCACGGCUAACUACGUG
RNAcentral lists this ribosomal RNA (496 nucleotides) under uncultured bacterium. Its description in RNAcentral is "partial 16S ribosomal RNA". It matches the Rfam family "Bacterial small subunit ribosomal RNA", at positions 29 to 507 of the family's 1533-position model. The record is from RNAcentral.